This 303-nucleotide ribosomal RNA is filed under the name uncultured bacterium. Its description in RNAcentral is "partial 16S ribosomal RNA". It matches the Rfam family "Bacterial small subunit ribosomal RNA", at positions 507 to 807 of the family's 1533-position model. The record is from RNAcentral.
AGCAGUCGCCACGGGAACACGGAGGGUGCAAGCGUUAAUCGGAAUUACUGGGCGUAAAGCGCACGCAGGCGGUCUGACAAGUCAGAUGUGAAAUCCCCGGGCUUAACCUGGGAACUGCAUUUGAAACUGUCAGGCUGGAGUCUUGUAGAGGGGGGUAGAAUUCCAGGUGUAGCGGUGAAAUGCGUAGAGAUCUGGAGGAAUACCGGUGGCGAAGGCGGCCCCCUGGACAAAGACUGACGCUCAGGUGCGAAAGCGUGGGGAGCAAACAGGAUUAGAUACCCGGGUAGUCCCUGUCUCUUAUAC